RNAcentral lists this ribosomal RNA (403 nucleotides) under uncultured bacterium. RNAcentral describes it as "bacterial SSU rRNA". It matches the Rfam family "Bacterial small subunit ribosomal RNA", at positions 355 to 774 of the family's 1533-position model. The record is from RNAcentral.
UGAGGAAUAUUGCACAAUGGGCGCAAGCCUGAUGCAGCAACGCCGCGUGAGGGACGAAGGCCUUCGGGUCGUAAACCUCUUUUCUGGGGGACGAGUAAGGACGGUACCCCAGGAAUAAGUCUCGGCUAACUACGUGCCAGCAGCCGUGGUAAAACGUAGGAGGCGAGCGUUAUCCGGAUUUACUGGGCGUAAAGCGUACGCAGGUGGUUUCGUUAGUCGGACAUGAAAGCUCCUGGCUUAACUGGGAGAGGUUGUUCGAUACUGCGGGGCUUGAGGUUGGGAGAGGGACGUGGAAUUCCCGGUGUAGUGGUGGAAUGCGUAGAUAUCGGGAGGAACACCAGUGGCGCAAGCGGCGUCCUGGCCCACACCUGACGCGGAGGUACGAAAGCGUGGGUAGCAAACA